CCCUUAGAUGUUCUGGGCCGCACGCGUGCUACACUGAGUGGAUCAGCGGGUCAGGUUGCGCGAAAGCGUUUCCUAAUCUUUAAAUCCGCUCGUGAUGGGGCUAGACCCUUGCAAUUAUUGGUCUCCAACGAGGAAUUCCUAGUAAACGCGAGUCAUCAGCUCGCAUUGAUUACGUCCCUGCCCUUUGUACACACCGCCCGUCGCACCUACCGAUUGAAUGUUUCGGUGAAGAUUCCGGAUAGGACUUUUUUGAUUUAUUUCAAUUCUGUCUUAAAAGCUAUCUAAACCUCAACAUUUAGAGGAAGGUGAAGUCGUAACA
RNAcentral lists this ribosomal RNA (319 nucleotides) under uncultured eukaryote. RNAcentral's name for it is "partial 18S ribosomal RNA". It matches the Rfam family "Eukaryotic small subunit ribosomal RNA", at positions 1470 to 1796 of the family's 1831-position model. The record is from RNAcentral.